GCACAAGCGGUGGAGCAUGUGGUUUAAUUCGAUGAUACGCGAGGAACCUUACCUGGGCUCAAAUGUAUGUUGACGUAUUCUGAAAGGGAUACUUCUUCGGACAAUAUACAAGGUGCUGCAUGGUUGUCGUCAGCUCGUGCCGUGAGGUGUCGGGUUAAGUCCCAUAACGAGCGCAACCCCUAUCAUUAGUUGCCAUCAGGUUAAGCUGGGGACUCUAAAGGAACUGCCUACGCAAGUAGUGAGGAAGGCGGGGAUGACGUCAAAUCAGCACGGCCCUUACGUCCAGGGCUACACACGUGCUACAAUGGCCGAUACAGAGGGCAGCUACCUGGUGACAGGAUGCAAAUCUCCAAAGUCGGUCUCAGUUCGGAUCGGAGUCUGCAACCCGACUCCGUGAAGUUGGAUUCGCUAGUAAUCGCGCAUCAGCCAUGGCGCGGUGAAUACGUUCCCGGGCCUU
RNAcentral lists this ribosomal RNA (457 nucleotides) under uncultured Sphingobacteriales bacterium. RNAcentral's name for it is "bacterial SSU rRNA". It matches the Rfam family "Bacterial small subunit ribosomal RNA", at positions 923 to 1382 of the family's 1533-position model. Lineage: Bacteria; Pseudomonadati; Bacteroidota; Sphingobacteriia; Sphingobacteriales. The record is from RNAcentral.